Molecule: ribosomal RNA, 468 nt
Filed under: uncultured bacterium
Lineage: Bacteria
Description: partial 16S ribosomal RNA
Rfam family: Bacterial small subunit ribosomal RNA
Source: RNAcentral
GACGAACGCUGGCGGCGUGCUUAACACAUGCAAGUCGAACGGAAAGGCCCUGCUUUUGUGGGGUGCUCGAGUGGCGAACGGGUGAGUAACACGUGAGUAACCUGCCCUUGACUUUGGGAUAACUUCAGGGAACUGGGGCUAAUACCGGAUAGGAGCUCCUGGUGCAUGGUGGGGGUUGGAAAGUUUCGGCGGUUGGGGAUGGACUCGCGGCUUAUCAGCUUGUUGGUGGGGUAGUGGCUUACCAAGGCUUUGACGGGUAGCCGGCCUGAGAGGGUGACCGGCCACAUUGGGACUGAGAUACGGCCCAGACUCCUACGGGAGGCAGCAGUGGGGAAUAUUGCACAAUGGGCGGAAGCCUGAUGCAGCAACGCCGCGUGCGGGAUGACGGCCUUCGGGUUGUAAACCGCUUUCGCCUGUGACGAAGCGUGAGUGACGGUAAUGGGUAAAGAAGCACCGGCUAACUACGUG